Molecule: ribosomal RNA, 701 nt
Filed under: Escherichia coli
Lineage: Bacteria; Pseudomonadati; Pseudomonadota; Gammaproteobacteria; Enterobacterales; Enterobacteriaceae
Description: partial 23S ribosomal RNA
Rfam family: Bacterial large subunit ribosomal RNA
Source: RNAcentral
AUGGAGCCGACCUUGAAAUACCACCCUUUAAUGUUUGAUGUUCUAACGUUGACCCGUAAUCCGGGUUGCGGACAGUGUCUGGUGGGUAGUUUGACUGGGGCGGUCUCCUCCUAAAGAGUAACGGAGGAGCACGAAGGUUGGCUAAUCCUGGUCGGACAUCAGGAGGUUAGUGCAAUGGCAUAAGCCAGCUUGACUGCGAGCGUGACGGCGCGAGCAGGUGCGAAAGCAGGUCAUAGUGAUCCGGUGGUUCUGAAUGGAAGGGCCAUCGCUCAACGGAUAAAAGGUACUCCGGGGAUAACAGGCUGAUACCGCCCAAGAGUUCAUAUCGACGGCGGUGUUUGGCACCUCGAUGUCGGCUCAUCACAUCCUGGGGCUGAAGUAGGUCCCAAGGGUAUGGCUGUUCGCCAUUUAAAGUGGUACGCGAGCUGGGUUUAGAACGUCGUGAGACAGUUCGGUCCCUAUCUGCCGUGGGCGCUGGAGAACUGAGGGGGGCUGCUCCUAGUACGAGAGGACCGGAGUGGACGCAUCACUGGUGUUCGGGUUGUCAUGCCAAUGGCACUGCCCGGUAGCUAAAUGCGGAAGAGAUAAGUGCUGAAAGCAUCUAAGCACGAAACUUGCCCCGAGAUGAGUUCUCCCUGACCCUUUAAGGGUCCUGAAGGAACGUUGAAGACGACGACGUUGAUAGGCCGGGUGUGUAAGCG